Molecule: ribosomal RNA, 119 nt
Filed under: Nelumbo nucifera (sacred lotus)
Lineage: Eukaryota; Viridiplantae; Streptophyta; Magnoliopsida; Proteales; Nelumbonaceae
Source: RNAcentral
GGUUGCGAUCAUACAAACACUAAUGCAUCGGAUCCCAUCAGAACUCUGAAGUUAAGCGUGCUUGCACGAGAUUAGUACUUGGAUUGGUGACCUCUUGGGAAGUACUUGUGUUGCACCCC